GUGCCUGUGGUGAAAGGGUUAUCAUUGCUGCCUUCCAAGCAGCAGGUCCUGGUUCGAGUCCUGGCAGGCACA
This 72-nucleotide transfer RNA is filed under the name Capronia coronata CBS 617.96. It matches the Rfam family "tRNA". Rfam says of the family: Transfer RNA (tRNA) molecules are approximately 80 nucleotides in length. Lineage: Eukaryota; Fungi; Ascomycota; Eurotiomycetes; Chaetothyriales; Herpotrichiellaceae. The record is from Rfam by way of RNAcentral.